This 785-nucleotide ribosomal RNA is filed under the name uncultured bacterium. RNAcentral's name for it is "bacterial SSU rRNA". It matches the Rfam family "Bacterial small subunit ribosomal RNA", at positions 1 to 760 of the family's 1533-position model. The record is from RNAcentral.
GCGAAUUCCAAGCUUGAGUUUGAUCCUGGCUCAGAACGAACGCUGGCGGCGUGCCUAACACAUGCAAGUCGAACGUGAUCCGCCCUUCGGGGUGGUGAAAGUGGCGCACGGGUGAGUAACGCGUGGAUAAUCUGCCCGAGGAUUUGGGAUAACAUCUCGAAAGGGGUGCUAAUACCGAAUAAGCCCACGGGGUCUACGGAUCUUGCGGGAAAAGGGGGGGACCUUCGGGCCUCCUGUCCUUGGAUGAGUCUGCGUACCAUUAGCUAGUUGGUGGGGUAAUGGCCUACCAAGGCGACGAUGGUUAGCUGGUCUGAGAGGAUGAUCAGCCACACUGGAACUGAGACACGGUCCAGACUCCUACGGGAGGCAGCAGUGGGGAAUUUUGCGCAAUGGGGGAAACCCUGACGCAGCAACGCCGCGUGGGUGAUGAAGGCCUUCGGGUCGUAAAGCUCUGUCUGGAGGGAAGAAAUGAUUGGGAGCUAAUACCUCUUGAUCUUGACGGUACCUCUGAAGGAAGCACCGGCUAACUCCGUGCCAGCAGCCGCGGUAAUACGGAGGGUGCAAGCGUUGUUCGGAAUUAUUGGGCGUAAAGCGCGUGUAGGCGGUCUUUUAAGUCUGAUGUGGAAGCCCCGGGCUCAACCUGGGAAGUGCAUUGGAAACUGGGAGGCUUGAGUACGGGAGAGGAGAGUGGAAUUCCUAGUGUAGGAGUGAAAUCCGUAGAUAUUAGGAGGAACACCGGUGGCGAAGGCGGCUCUCUGGACCGAUACUACGCUAGACGCAAAAGC